This 694-nucleotide ribosomal RNA is filed under the name Lentinus sajor-caju. RNAcentral describes it as "eukaryotic LSU rRNA". The stretch from base 289 to 442 matches the Rfam family "5.8S ribosomal RNA". Lineage: Eukaryota; Fungi; Basidiomycota; Agaricomycetes; Polyporales; Polyporaceae. The record is from RNAcentral.
GGAAGUAAAAGUCGUAACAAGGGUUUCCGUAGGUGAACCUGCGGAAGGAUCAUUAAUGAAUUCACUAUGGAGUUGUUGCUGGCCUCUAGGGGCAUGUGCACGCUUCACUAGUCUUUCAACCACCUGUGAACUUUUGAUAGAUCUGUGAAGUCGUCCUUCAAGUCGUCAGACUUGGUUUGCUGGGAUUUAAACGUCUCGGUGUGACAACGCAGUCUAUUUACUUAACACACCCCAAAUGUAUGUCUACGAAUGUCAUUUAAUGGGCCUUGUGCCUAUAAACCAUAAUACAACUUUCAACAACGGAUCUCUUGGCUCUCGCAUCGAUGAAGAACGCAGCGAAAUGCGAUAAGUAAUGUGAAUUGCAGAAUUCAGUGAAUCAUCGAAUCUUUGAACGCACCUUGCGCCCCUUGGUAUUCCGAGGGGCAUGCCUGUUUGAGUGUCAUUAAAUUCUCAAACUCACAUUUAUUUGUGAUGUUUGGAUUGUUGGGGGUUGCUGGCUGUAACAAGUCGGCUCCUCUUAAAUGCAUUAGCAGGACUUCUCAUUGCCUCUGCGCAUGAUGUGAUAAUUAUCACUCAUCAAUAGCACGCAUGAAUAGAGUCCAGCUCUCUAAUCGUCCGCAAGGACAUUUUGACAAUUUGACCUCAAAUCAGGUAGGACUACCCGCUGAACUUAAGCAUAUCAAUAAGCGGAGGA